RNAcentral lists this ribosomal RNA (301 nucleotides) under uncultured bacterium. RNAcentral's name for it is "partial 16S ribosomal RNA". It matches the Rfam family "Bacterial small subunit ribosomal RNA", at positions 509 to 807 of the family's 1533-position model. The record is from RNAcentral.
CAGCCGCCACGGUAAAACGAGGGGUGCAAGCGUUAUUCGGAUUGAUUGGGUGUAAAGGGUGUGCAGACGGCUUAUUAAGUCACUUGUUAAAUUCUUCGGCCUAACUGAAGGUCUGCAAGUGAUACUGAUGAGCUAGAGGGUGGAAGAGAGAAGUGGAAUUCUCGGAGUAGCGGUAAAAUGCGUAGAUCUCGAGAGGAACACCAAUGGCGAAGGCAGCUUCUUGGUCCAUUCCUGACGUUCAUACACGAAAGCGUGGGGAGCAAACAGGAUUAGAUACCCGCGUAGUCCCUGUCUCUUAUAC